RNAcentral lists this ribosomal RNA (253 nucleotides) under uncultured bacterium. Its description in RNAcentral is "partial 16S ribosomal RNA". It matches the Rfam family "Bacterial small subunit ribosomal RNA", at positions 524 to 776 of the family's 1533-position model. The record is from RNAcentral.
UACGUAGGGUGCAAGCGUUGUCCGGAAUUAUUGGGCGUAAAGAGCUCGUAGGCGGUUUGUCGCGUCUGCUGUGAAAUCCCGAGGCUCAACCUCGGGUCUGCAGUCGAUACGAGCAAACUAGAGUGUUGCAGGGGAGACUGGAAUUCCUGGUGUAGCGGUGAAAUGCGCAGAUAUCAGAAGGAACACCAGUGGCGAAGGCGGCUCACUGGCCCGGUACUGACGCUGAGGAGCGAAAGCGUGGGGAGCGAACAGG